GGAAAAGUGCCCGAGAACAAGGACUACUUUGAUAAAGUACAAACAGAGAAAAUAACCUCUCUUUUCCCA
This 69-nucleotide transfer RNA is filed under the name Brookesia exarmata. RNAcentral's name for it is "tRNA-Ile". The record is from RNAcentral. Lineage: Eukaryota; Metazoa; Chordata; Lepidosauria; Squamata; Chamaeleonidae.